GCGUGGAUGAAGAAGGUCUUCGGAUUGUAAAGUCCUUUCGGCGGGGACGAUGAUGACGGUACCCGCAGAAGAAGCCCCGGCUAACUUCGUGCCAGCAGCCGCGGUAAUACGAAGGGGGCUAGCGUUGCUCGGAAUUACUGGGCGUAAAGGGCGCGUAGGCGGAUGAUUUAGUCAGGCGUGAAAGCCCCGGGCUCAACCUGGGAAUUGCGCUUGAAACGGGUCAUCUUGAGGGCGAGAGAGGGUGGUGGAAUUCCCAGUGUAGAGGUGAAAUUCGU
Molecule: ribosomal RNA, 275 nt
Filed under: uncultured bacterium
Lineage: Bacteria
Description: partial 16S ribosomal RNA
Rfam family: Bacterial small subunit ribosomal RNA
Source: RNAcentral